GUUGAGGGGAAUGUUGUCUGGCUCGAAGCUUUUCAAACUGAGAGAGAUAUAAAUAAGGGUUUUAGUUUUGGGUUAAAUGUUACUAGAAAACUUUGAAAAGCUUUGUCUCUCUCAAGGUUUCGGACCAGGCUUCAUUCCCUUCAAA
RNAcentral lists this microRNA precursor (145 nucleotides) under Corchorus capsularis. RNAcentral's name for it is "pre miRNA mir-166". It matches the Rfam family "mir-166 microRNA precursor family". Rfam says of the family: This family represents the plant microRNA (miRNA) precursor mir-166. Lineage: Eukaryota; Viridiplantae; Streptophyta; Magnoliopsida; Malvales; Malvaceae. The record is from Rfam by way of RNAcentral.